This 423-nucleotide ribosomal RNA is filed under the name uncultured bacterium. RNAcentral describes it as "bacterial SSU rRNA". It matches the Rfam family "Bacterial small subunit ribosomal RNA", at positions 207 to 622 of the family's 1533-position model. The record is from RNAcentral.
AAGACCUUGCACUUUUGGAGCGGCCGAUGUCUGAUUAGCUAGUUGGUGGGGUAAAGGCCUACCAAAGCUUCGAUCAGUAGCUGGUCUGAGAGGACGGCCAGCCACACUGGGACUGAGACACGGCCCAGACUCCUACGGGAGGCAGCAGUGGGGAAUUUUGGACAAUGGGCGCAAGCCUGAUCCAGCCAUGCCGCGUGAGUGAAGAAGGCCUUCGGGUUGUAAAGCUCUUUCAGCCGGGAAGAAAAGGCUGCGACUAAUAAUCGCAGUUCAUGACGGUACCGGAAGAAGAAGCACCGGCUAACUACGUGCCAGCAGCCGCGGUAAUACGUAGGGUGCGAGCGUUAAUCGGAAUUACUGGGCGUAAAGGGUGCGCAGGCGGUUUUGUAAGUCAGAUGUGAAAUCCCCGGGCUUAACCUGGGGACU